RNAcentral lists this ribosomal RNA (500 nucleotides) under uncultured bacterium. RNAcentral's name for it is "partial 16S ribosomal RNA". It matches the Rfam family "Bacterial small subunit ribosomal RNA", at positions 29 to 523 of the family's 1533-position model. The record is from RNAcentral.
AUUGAACGCUGGCGGCAUGCCUUACACAUGCAAGUCGAACGGUAACGCGGGGGCAACCCUGGCGAAGAGUGGCGAACGGGUGAGUAAUACAUCGGAACGUACCUGGUAGUGGGGGAUAGCCCGGCGAAAGCCGGCUUACUACCGCAUACGCACCACGGUGGAAAGCGGGGGACCGCAAGUCCUCGCGCUAUCAGAGCGGCGGAUGGCAGAUUAGCUAGUUGGUGGGGUAAAAGCCUACCAAGGCGACGAUCUGUAGCUGGUCUGAGAGGACGACCAGCCACACUGGGACUGAGACACGGCCCAGACUCCUACGGGAGGCAGCAGUGGGGAAUUUUGGACAAUGGGGGAAACCCUGAUCCAGCGAUGCCGCGUGUGUGAAGAAGGCCUUCGGGUUGUAAAGCACUUUUGUUCGGGAAGAAAUCUGUCGGGCUAAUACCCUGGCGGGAUGACGGUACCGGAAGAAUAAGCACCGGCUAACUACGUGCCAGCCGCCGCGGUAA